AAGAGGAUAUUAGUUUACGCUCUAAUCGUACUAUAUUCAUGGAUUAAGAAAACAUCUACAAUCUCCAACAUAUUUUAAACAGAGGACCAAUGCAGACAAGGAAACCUUCAAGGUCUCAAAAAAAAGUCAAGAAAAUUUGAAUUCGUGCCAACUAAUAAAACGGACAUACCUUUGAUUUUAGGUGUCCGACCAGGUCGCACUUAUUUGAGUGAUGGAUAUAGUUUGA
Molecule: small RNA, 226 nt
Filed under: Arabidopsis thaliana (thale cress)
Lineage: Eukaryota; Viridiplantae; Streptophyta; Magnoliopsida; Brassicales; Brassicaceae
Description: ATSL020670
Source: RNAcentral